UCAAAUAUCUUACAGCAUAACAUGUUAUAAUUUUUCAUUAACUUUAAUAAAUUCUAAUCUAAAAUAAAGAUAUCAAAUUCUGCUUCUAAUUUACUCUCUCAUAAUGAAUCUUCGAGUCAAGCUAGUCCUCUAAGUUUGUAAAAAUUAUAAAAUAUAAAGUAAUAAGCUAGACAACCUAGUAAGCAAUAUAUAGUUUGGCC
Molecule: long non-coding RNA, 200 nt
Filed under: Elaeis guineensis (African oil palm)
Lineage: Eukaryota; Viridiplantae; Streptophyta; Magnoliopsida; Arecales; Arecaceae
Description: long non-coding RNA (EGUI_LNC034109)
Source: RNAcentral